RNAcentral lists this transfer RNA (73 nucleotides) under Thermoplasmatales archaeon AK. RNAcentral describes it as "tRNA-Thr". It matches the Rfam family "tRNA". Rfam says of the family: Transfer RNA (tRNA) molecules are approximately 80 nucleotides in length. Their secondary structure includes four short double-helical elements and three loops (D, anti-codon, and T loops). Further hydrogen bonds mediate the characteristic L-shaped molecular structure. tRNAs have two regions of fundamental functional importance: the anti-codon, which is responsible for specific mRNA codon recognition, and the 3' end, to which the tRNAs corresponding amino acid is attached (by aminoacyl-tRNA synthetases). tRNAs cope with the degeneracy of the genetic code in two manners: having more than one tRNA (with a specific anti-codon) for a particular amino acid; and 'wobble' base-pairing, i.e. permitting non-standard base-pairing at the 3rd anti-codon position. The record is from RNAcentral. Lineage: Archaea; Methanobacteriati; Thermoplasmatota; Thermoplasmata; Thermoplasmatales. RNAcentral also lists the same sequence under 2 other names.
GCCACUGUAGCUCAGGCGGCAGAGCAGCUGACUUGUAAUCAGCAGGUCGGGGGAUCAAAACCCUCCAGUGGCU